AAGACUAUACUUUCAGGGGUUAUUUCUAUAGUUCAUUACAAGAGAAGUUCCUCUGUGUAGAGCACCGGAAACCAUGAGGAGGAGACGUGGCAUUCUCCCCUGAGCGUGAAGCCGGCUCUUAGUGUUGCUUUCUGCAGCUGCUGCCUGCCAUUGAUAGUUCUCUCCCUCUGGGAGAGUGAGGGGGGAGAAAAAUAAAU
Molecule: small nucleolar RNA, 197 nt
Filed under: Peromyscus maniculatus bairdii (prairie deer mouse)
Lineage: Eukaryota; Metazoa; Chordata; Mammalia; Rodentia; Cricetidae
Description: Small nucleolar RNA U3 (ENSPEMG00000007240.2)
Rfam family: Small nucleolar RNA U3
About the family: Small nucleolar RNAs (snoRNAs) are involved in the processing and modification of rRNA in the nucleolus. There are two main classes of snoRNAs: the box C/D class, and the box H/ACA class.
Source: Rfam by way of RNAcentral